This is a long non-coding RNA of Equus caballus (horse), 2081 nucleotides long. NCBI's taxonomy places the organism in Eukaryota, Metazoa, Chordata, Mammalia, Perissodactyla, Equidae. The record is from Ensembl.
CAACCAGCAGCUAUGGAACACUUCUUCUUCUGUAAUGUAUGACUGAGCAGAAGCUUCUCUCUAAGUGACCCAGAAGCAUCCAGAGUGAGCUGCACAUUGGACCACUCCUGGAAUAGAUUCAUCACUUGUGUUUUUUGGCUUGGAUAUCACUGUUCUGUGCCACCUGUGGAAAAUGGGAGACAAAUUAUAUCCCUUAUGAUUGCAGUUGUUAGGGAAUUACCGCUCAGCUGGGAGCUCUGUUCUGUGCAACUUCACUCUGGGACCGAGGCUGCCUGGAGAACCACCAUCUGGAGUAUGGCUAGUCUCCGUGAGAGAGAGGAAGAUAGAGUGGUGAAUUUCUCACUGGCUUUUAAAGCUUACACCUGAAAGUGAUACAUGGCACUUCUACUCAGAUGUCACUAGGCAAAGCAAGUCACGUGGCUGUACCCAACUUCAAAAGGCGAAGAAGUGCAAUCAUACCCUGUGUUUGGGAAAAUCGGACACACUUGGUGGGCAGAACUGUCCCAGAUGAUGACAGUUGCUAUGAAGAAACAAAGCCAGGUAAAGGAGAUGAUGUCUGGAUAGCUGGUUUCUACUUGAUAUAGGUGGUCAGGAAAGGUCUCUCUGAUAAGGUGACAUUUGAGGAGAGAUUCUAAGAGGGCCAUUUGGAUGGGCACGGGGCAAUUUCCUGCAAGGGAUACAGCAAGGGCAAAGUGUGCCUGGCGUGUUUGAGAAACAACUAGGAGGUCCAGGUGGCUAGACUGGAGUGAGCAAGGGGAAAGCUGUAGAAAAUUAGGUCAGAGAGAUAACCGAGAGCUGGGGACACAAGGUAGGGCCUUACUGUAAGAGCUCUGGCCGUUGUAGAUUUUUGUGUAAAGACACAAUCUGAGUUAGGCUUUAAAAGCUGCUGUGGCUGCUGUGUGGAAAAUACAGCAGGGGGCCAAGGAUUGAAGCAGAGAGUGGUUAAGAGGCUGUUUCAGUAAUCCAGGUGAGGUAAGAGACGGGGUAGUGGUCAGAUUCUGGACAUAGUUCGAAGGUAAAACCAACAGAAUUUGCCAAUGUGUUGGUUGUAAGAGAAGGAGGAGAUUUGAGGAUGACUUCAAAGGUUUGUUUCUCCUAGUAGUGCCUGGACACACAUAAGGACUGCCUCAGGUGGUUUUUGAGACUCUUCUAACUUGGCAAUAUCACCAUAGCAUAUAACUUCCCCCAUACAUGAGUCAAAGUUGGACAGCCAAGUGGAGAUAUAGAUGCUGGGGCAGUCAGCCUGAUUCAUGUACCAGCAAAGGGACUUCUGUCCCCACAUUGGCCUCAUAUCUGGUCUCUCUUUGGACUUAUGACCCAAGUUAAUUUAUAAAACCAGAGAAGUGAGCUUCAUAAUUACAAGCAAAAUAGGAGAAAAUGACUGAGUCAUCCCAACCUCAUCUCACCCCGCCAUUCCUCUGUGAACCUCAGAUAGCGCUACCAAGAAACCCAGCUAUUACAACAUGGGGUCUAUCCUCAUUGGACACUGGGACAGUGAUGUGUUGCCUCCCAUUCUCCUGGAAAUACGUUGAGUAAAAUUCUUAACAAAUACGACAAAACAACACUGUGGUGUUUUUCUGAAUAGUGUGUCCCCCAUUUCUGCUCACCCUGUCAUCCUGUAACAUGGCUCUCCCCAUCACUACCACCCAGUAAAUGGCAACUGGAACUCCCUGCUACACCUGGGCCUUCUCUGUGUCUUCUCCAGCAUAGAGUAGCAUAGGUUGAGUGCAAAGUUUGCCACCUACCAUAACGGACUGAAUAAAUGAAGGUCCAUGCUGUUUUUAAGAACUAUUUUGGGGGUAUUUAUACUCAAAAGCAUUCAUUUGUUCAAGAAAUCUUCUUGAACUCCUACUAUGUGCCAGGUACUCUUCUAAGCACUGGAGACACAGCCAUGGAUAGAAUAUAUAAGUAAUAUAUAUUGUUGAAAACUGGGAAAGCAUAGAAAGGUACUCAGAAAAGAUAACAUUUCCACUAACUCACCACCGAAACAUAAUUGCUAGUAACAUUUUGGUGCCCAGUCUUUUUCUGAGCAUAUAUAUCUUUCCUUCCUCCUUUUUUGAAUAAAAUUUACAACUUUGGGC